This 67-nucleotide transfer RNA is filed under the name Acetobacter orientalis. RNAcentral's name for it is "tRNA-Glu". It matches the Rfam family "tRNA", at positions 10 to 71 of the family's 71-position model. Rfam says of the family: Transfer RNA (tRNA) molecules are approximately 80 nucleotides in length. Their secondary structure includes four short double-helical elements and three loops (D, anti-codon, and T loops). Lineage: Bacteria; Pseudomonadati; Pseudomonadota; Alphaproteobacteria; Acetobacterales; Acetobacteraceae. The record is from RNAcentral.
GUCUAGAGGCCUAGGACACCGCCCUUUCACGGCGGCAACACGGGUUCGAAUCCCGUACGGGAUACCA